Molecule: long non-coding RNA, 5655 nt
Filed under: Pelobates cultripes (western spadefoot toad)
Lineage: Eukaryota; Metazoa; Chordata; Amphibia; Anura; Pelobatidae
Source: RNAcentral
GUUAAUCUGAUUUUUUUUAGCCCUGCACCAUGUAUAACCCACCCUAUCUCUGUUCAGCCUGUGUGUUCCAGGUAUUUGAAUACGUAUUGUCCCCGAGAGUACACCCCGGUAUGUGGAACAGAUGGAUACACCUAUGGAAGUGAAUGUCAUUUGUGCUGGGAAAAUAAGUAAGGGAAAUGUCUACCAAUAAUAUAGUGUCUUUGGUUUUACUCCACAGUGAGAUUUAGAAAUUCAAAAUUUCUACUACUAAUUUCUAAGACCAACUUAAAAAAAAUAAACCAAAUAGAAUUUAUUUUAUUUAUUUUUUAAUGUCUGUAAAAAUUAUGUCAUGUAGUAUUUAUGCUCAUAAUUUUUUUAUUUAUUUUUUAUUACACAUACACAUUGCCAAUUAAAGGGAAACUGUCACUGCUCUCUCUAUACUGACUGCCAGGUGUAAAGGGCGGAGCUUAUAACAAUGAUUGACAGGGAGCUAAGAUGGAGCUUAUAACAAUGAUUGACAGGGAGCUAAGAUGGAGGUGGCUCUCUCUAUGCUGACUGCCAGGUGUAAAGGGCGGAGCUUAUAACAAUGAUUGACAGGGAGCUAAGAUGGAGGUGGCUCUCUCUAUGCUGACUGCAGAUGGAGGUGGCUCUCUCUUUACUGACUGCCAGGUGUAAAGGGCGGAGCUUAUAACAAUGAUUGACAGGGAGCUAAGAUGGAGGUGGCGCUCUCUAUACUGAUUGCCAGGUGUAAAGGGCGGAGCUUAUAACAAUGAUUGACAGGGAGCUAAGAUGGAGGCGGCUCUCUCUAUACUGACUGCCAGGUAUAAAGGGCGGAGCUUAUAACAAUGAUUGACAGGGAGCUAAGAUGGAGGUGGCUCUCUCUAUACUGACUGCCAGGUGUAAAGGGCGGAGCUUAUAACAAUGAUUGACAGGGAGCUAAGAUGGAGGCUGCUCUCUCUAUACUGACUGCCAGGUGUAAAGGGCGGAGCUUAUAACAAUGAUUGACAGGGAGCUAAGAUGGAGGCGGCUCUCUCUAUACUGACUGCCAGGUGUAAAGGGCGGAGCUUAUAACAAUGAUUGACAGGGAGCUAAGAUGGAGGCGGCUCUCUCUAUACUGACUGCCAGGUGUAAUGGGCGGAGCUUAUAACAAUGAUUGACAGGGAGCUAAGAUGGAGGCGGCUCUCUAUACUGACUGCCAGGUGUAAAGGGCGGGGCUUAUAACAAUGAUUGACAGGGAGCUAAGAUGGAGGUGGCUCUCUCUAUACUGAAUGACAGGUGUAAAGGGCGGAGUUUAUAACAAUGACUGACAGAGAGCUAAGAUGUCGGCGGCUCUCUCUAUACUGACUGCCAGGUGUAAAGGGCGGAGCUUAUAACAAUGAUUGACAGGGAGCUAUGAUGGAGGGGGCUCUCUCUAUACUGACUGCCAGGUGUAAAGGGCGGAGCUUAUAACAAUGAUUGACAGGGAGCUAUGAUGGAGGUGGCUCUCUCUAUACUGACUGCCAGGUGUAAAGGGCGGAGCUUAUAACAAUGAUUGACCGGGAGCUAAGAUGGAGAUGGCUCUCUCUAUACUGACUGCCAGGUGUAAAGGGCGGAGCUUAUAACAAUGAUUGACAGGGAGCUAAGAUGGAGGUGGCUCUCUCUAUACUGACUGCCAGGUGUAAAGGGCGGAGCUUAUAACAAUGAUUGACAGGGAGCUAAGAUGGAGGAGGCUCUCUCUAUACUGACUGCCAGGUGUAAAGGGCGGAGCUUAUAACAAUGACUGACAGGGAGCUAAGAUGGAGGCGGCGCUCUCUAUACUGACUGCCAGGUGUAAAGCGCGGAGCUUAUAACAAUGACUGACAGGGAGCUAAGAUGGAGGCGGCGCUCUCUAUACUGACUGCCAGGUGUAAAGGGCGGAGCUUAUAACAAUGAUUGACAGGGAGCUAAGAUGGAGGUGGCUCUCUAUACUGACUGUCAGGUGUAAUGGGCGGAGCUUAUAACAAUGAUUGACAGGGAGCUAAGAUAGAGGUGGCUCUCUAUACUGACUGCCAGGUGUAAUGGGCGGAGCUUAUAACAAUGACUGACAGGAGCUAAGAUGGAGGCGGCUCUCUCUAUACUGACUGCCAAGUGUAAAGGGCAGAGCUUAUAACAAUGAUUGACAGGGAGCUAAGAUGGAGGCACACGGGUACAAGAUAAGGAUGUGUGGAUUUUUACAUUUAAUUUGACUUUUCACAAAUCACAAAUACAUACUUAGUAAAUACAGGGAUAAGAAAACAUUACAUUGAUUUUUUUUCUGAAGUGACCAUUCUUUUUUAACUAGUUCUGGUAUGAUAUAGGUCAUUUUUAGGAUUGUGGUGAGAAGCUGGAAUAAUUAUUAUUAUUUUUUAAUUCUUUAUUUUUUAUGUGCAGCAAGAUAACAUGGAUAGUGUACAUAUUCAAGAGUAUAAAUCACAUACGGUUAUCCAGCAAACAAUACAAGGAAACUGCACAUUUAAAAAAAAAUUUAACACGAAAAUUAUAACAAAAGUUACUCAAUGCAUAGAAAUUGCCAUAUAGCUAAAGAGUGGGUCAAGAUAUAUGCAUUGGAUGUUUAGACAGGCUAUAGUAGGUAUAAACAGACUUGUUACAGAUAUACUAUUGGAGUAUAGUAAUUAAAUUUACCACCCCUGGUUAUAGAACAUUGAAGUGCCACAGCACUCCCAAACAGAGAGAAAAUAAGGAAAAUGAAAACUAGAUGCAUGGCUUUAAAACAUGGGUUAAGUGUGAACGCAGGCAGAAGUCCUGUGAGCAUAUUCAGCCAACUCCCUUAGGUGGCAAUGCUGUUACUCCAUCAGGAAAAACAUCAUUCAGAGACAGGGUGUCCAUCCAGCCCCGGGCCUCCAGGAGUGCCGGUAUCUGUGUACCACAGACUCUGGUUCUUCUUGCGACCAAGUCUAUCCCCUUCAGGGAGAGGUCAGAGGAUUUAGGGGCCAAUCGCCGCCUGCAGGGAUUCCUCCGCCUGUGUGCGCGAUGCUGGGAGGUCAUGCCUCUGGUGGCCCUUAACCCCGGUAGAUGAGUAUGGGGUUUUGUUAGCCGCUUUCUAGUUGCGUUAUCCUGAGGAGGCCUUUCUGCCUCUGGGUGGUUGGUUCCCUAUUGGUUGGUUCCCUAGUCUGAUCUUGCUGGCUGUGUUGUGGGCAUGAAGGUUGAGAACUGUUGAAAGAGCUCAUCGAGCCACAUCAGGAAGAGAGUGGAGUGUCUCCUUUGUUGAACUCACACCAUGUGGGUCAGAGUGGAAGACAGUCGCCAUCUUUAGAUGCCUGAGGUUGAAUCUGAAUCUGCUCUGUUGGAGCGGUGAGGCUGGAUCUAACAGCUUUAGAUAGCCCAGGGGGGACCGGGAUAAUCCCCACAGGUCUGAGGGGGGAAAGUGGGGUUAGGAGUGCAAUGGAUCUGGGCCUCGAGUAAAAGCACGAGGAGAUCGGCCACCUUUCCCCAGCUUCACUCACGGUAGGCCGCAGCAGGCUUGCCCAAGCAUCCGCUGUCGGAGAUUCUCAGAAAAGGUUUCAUUCAGCGUGCCCGGGAGCCCCUGACCCGGGAAAUAUUGUAUGGUCAGCGUGAGAGUGUGAUGUUAGGAAUUUAGGAUUAAUACUUCCAAGUCUGCUUAUGUUGCAGGAGCUCAGACACCAAACAUCUCCCCAGCUUGAAGGUCAGGCUCCUCCCCCUGAAACUGGAAUAAUUUUACUUUUUGAAAUCCACUGUCAAUUGUUUUUACUUUUCUGUUCCGUAUAGUACUAAUGAACAAACACACAAACAAACUAAACAAACAAACAAAAAAAUAGUCCAAGCUGUAUGUCCAAGCUGUAUUUAGCAAAUAUUUGUAGAAUUAAGGGGACAAGAAGUGAUAAGAAACUAUUUGAAUGCUUCUAAUCUAGGGACCCCCGGGUAUUACUCAGUAUUAAAGGAACACUAUAGUCACCUAAAUUACUUUAGCUAAAUAAAGCAGUUUUAGUGUAUAGAUCAUUCCCCUGAAGUCUCACUGCUCAAUUCACUGUCAUUUAGGAGUUAAAUCACUUUGUUUCUGUUUAUGCAGCCCUAGCCACACCUCCCCUGGCUAUGACUGACAGAGCCUGCAUGAAAAAAAAACUGGUUUCACUUUCAAACAGAUGUAAUUUACCUUAAAUAAUUGUAUCUCAAUCUCUAAAUUGAACUUUAAUCACAUACAGGAGGCUCUUGCAGGGUCUAUCAAGCUAUUAACAUAGCAGGGGAUAAGAAAAUCUUAAUUAAACAGAACUUGCAAUAAAGAAAGCCUAAAUAGGGCUCUCUUUACAGGAAGUGUUUAUGGAAGGCUGUGCAAGUCACAUGCAGGGAGGUGUGACUAGGGUUCAUAAACAAAGGGAUUUAACUCCUAAAUGGCAGAGGAUUGAGCAGUGAGGCUGCAGGGGCAUGUUCUAUACACCAAAACUGCGUCAUUAAGCUAAAGUUGUUCAGGUGACUAUAGUGUCUCUUUAACAUCUACCUCCUGCUGUAGUGAUCAUAGUUUAACAGAAUAAUAUACGAGGUUUAAAAAUAUAUAUAUUUACAUAAACCAGAGUAGUUUAGUAUUCUUAGUAAAUCUGUAUUCUUAUUAAAUCACAUUCUUUAAACACUCAUGGCUCACGUUACUGUGUGUGCAGAGCUUAUGGGGAACUAAUCAGAUCUUUGUAUGUAUUUUCUUUUAGUCACAGAACGGAGAAAGUCCAAAUUAGAAAAAAUGGACACUGCUGAUCGGCAGCUGAAGACGAAUGCAUAACUCCCCUACUCCCUCCGCCUGUAAUUAAAAUAAACUUUAAUUCUGCUUACUGCUGAGAAAACUGGUUGAUGAGACAAUACAUUACAUUAAGAAUUGGGAUUCUAACAGUGUUGUCUUCUUUCCAAAUCCUUGUUUUAAAAUAUAGCUUUUUAUUGGCUUUAGCGUUUAAACAAUACAUUGUGCUUAAAUGACAUAGGAAUUGCAAACCAAUAUACCCCCACACCCCACCUCUCCCCACACCCCAGAACUGCCACAACAGCCAAAAUGAAAAAGUGACACAGUUAGGAAUUUUUGGCACUUUUUCAUUUUAAUUUUCUCUUUAAUUUGCCCCACUUUUCUACUAAGGGAAAAUGCCGCACUUUACUAUAAACUAUCAGAGCCUUCACCAAUAUCACAUAACUGAAGGCUACAGCCUUCCAGAAACCAGACUCAAAGAAAAUAUGAAUGGGAGGAUAAUUUGAUUAAUUAUUCGUUCUUUUCAAGUGUUGAUAUGAGUUACUAUACUGCUAAUGAAAAUAUGAUGCUGCAAUUCUAGAGUAUACAACUAAAAAUAGGAACACAAUUAAAAUUGGGAAUUGCUACGAAUGUUUAAUAUAAAAGUCAAGAAAUGUCCAUUUAAAAUCUUCCUAUAAAUGGUUUUAUAAACAGUUGCUUAGAGUCAAGUUUAACCCUUGAUUAACAUGGUCAUAUUCUCUUUUUAUGUUAAACAGCUGUGUUUCGAAGACUGCGCAAUAUUUUGCUUUUUUUCUCUUAAAUCCUCCUACCCCAGCUAGUGCGCGAAAAGGAUCCAUUAGCGAUUUCAGUAUGCCGUGUAAAUCUUAAAUAGAGAUGUCAAAAAAAAGAUAACUUUUACAUAGAUAAAUCGAUUACUGUUUUUGCCUACUAUAUAUGCAUGGUAAUGUACAUCAAACAUAACCCAGCACAAGGGCAGG